RNAcentral lists this ribosomal RNA (423 nucleotides) under uncultured bacterium. RNAcentral describes it as "bacterial SSU rRNA". It matches the Rfam family "Bacterial small subunit ribosomal RNA", at positions 358 to 773 of the family's 1533-position model. The record is from RNAcentral.
GGAAUUUUGGACAAUGGGCGCAAGCCUGAUCCAGCCAUGCCGCGUGGGUGAAGAAGGCCUUCGGGUUGUAAAGCCCUUUCGGCUGGGACGAAAAGGUCCGCGCUAACACCGCGGAUCCAUGACGGUACCAGCAGAAGAAGCACCGGCUAACUACGUGCCAGCAGCCGCGGUAAUACGUAGGGUGCAGGCGUUAAUCGGAAUUACUGGGCGUAAAGCGUGCGCAGGCGGUCUAUUAAGACAGGUGUGAAAUCCCCGGGCUUAACCUGGGAACUGUGCUUGUAACUGAUAGGCUUGAGUGUGGCAGAGGGGGGUGGAAUUCCGCGUGUAGCAGUGAAAUGCGUAGAUAUGCGGAGGAACACCGAUGGCGAAGGCAGUCCCCUGGGCCUGUACUGACGCUCAUGCACGAAAGCGUGGGGAGCAAAC